AUGGGCUCAGUUCCCAAGAGGUUGCUCCUAUCUCGGUCCUGGGGAACUCUCGAUCGCCCUAAACCAGUACGAGGCCAAACAGUCACGAGGAAAAGACAAGAUACGGGCGAGGGGCGAAGAGGCCUGGGCUCCGGGGCCGGCCGGCGCCAGCGGGGUAGGUGCAAGCCCGGGCGGGCGGCGGGGAGGAAUUCGGCUCGCCCCGGACAAACGGGGGCGUGGCGUGCAGCGGGGCUGGCAACUGCAGCCAAGGAAACUUCCAAAGGGCCGGGGAGGCGGCAGGGGGCGGGGAGAGGAGGCAGCGACAGGGGCGGGAGCAGGGACCCGGAGGGGGUCAGGGCUGAGCCGAGGCUGAGAGGCGGCUCGGGGGGAAGUCAGGCCCCCGGGGAUCCGGCCGGCCCGCGCUGUCGCUCAGACGACCCCGGAGCCCCCGCAGCCCCCCGCGCGCCGGAAAGGGGGCGAGGCUGCGGCGGUGCGCGGAGCGGGGAAGGGGGGGAGUGGGGAAGGGGCGUCGCCCCGGCCGCCCCCGCCCUCUCCGAUGCCAUUGGGCCGACGCUGCGGGGUCCGCGCCACCUUUUCUCCAUCCCGCCGGGUCCGCCCCGCCGCGCCCGUCCGGGAGCCGGUGCUGCCCGGGCCGCUGACGUCACCGCCAAGUUUGCUGCCCUCCGCGCCCCACGUGUGGCGGCGGCGGCGGGGCAGCGUCUGCGAGCGCAGUGGCCGCGGCGGCUGACAGGUCCCGCGCAGCCCGGCUCCGGCGCGCCGCUCCCCGGUGGACACCCCGGGCGCUGUGGAGCAGCCGGGCGCGCGCGGAGAGGGGCGCACGGCCCGCCGCGGGCCUCGGGCUCCCGCCGGGGCAGGCGCACUCGGGGGCACCUCGCGCCCCGGCGGCCACCGGCCCGGAGGAGGGCACCGUCGCUCGCCGCCGGCCGCAGCGCCCGGAGCUCCGCGUGCCCGGAGCCUCGAGUGCCCUCCCCGGGACCGAGCCAGGGAUGCACGACCGCUGAGCGGGGAUCCGCUCCGGGAGGCCGCCCGGGGCCGGGGCUGAGACGCACGCGCCGCCGCCUCCGCCGCCUCCGCCGCCGCCAGGACCCCCGUUCCCGCGGCGCUCGGGGACCCGGGGCGCCGAGCGCGUCCCCCAGGCUCAGGACGGGCGAGUCGACGACGAUGGUCUCUUAA
Molecule: long non-coding RNA, 1173 nt
Filed under: Canis lupus familiaris (dog)
Lineage: Eukaryota; Metazoa; Chordata; Mammalia; Carnivora; Canidae
Description: lncRNA (ENSCAFG00030003135.1)
Source: RNAcentral